CUUCUUGAAUUUUCGAAUUGUGUGAUGCCACUUUUUCUCACCUGAGUUUAUUUACAGCAAAUUCAUUAUCUACUGCCUUUGCACUCUGACCUCUGCCAUUUGAUCCCCAGGAUAAGUUAAUGGUGCAGCAGGGUGUUAGAACUCUCUGCAGUUUACAGAAAUAUUGUUUGCCUGAAUGAUUAUAACUCUGAUUGUCCAACAUCUGGCUAAUAUGUUUCUCUCCUCCAGCAUGACAACGAUUGAAACAGGAUAAAAGUACGGUAAAAUUGUUAAUUUCCUGGUUUACAAAAGCACAUCCGACCACGCUUCAAAUACAAAAAAGGAUAGUCUAAGUUCUACUUGGUUGAAAUUACAGUGGCUACAAAUAUAAGGACUAUUAUCUCAAGUUAUGGUUUAAGUUUACUGGAAUCCAUUUCAAAUCUUAGGAAAAUCUACUCUUCGGAAAAUUACUGAACCAAAUUAUGGGUUUACUGCAAUUUUUUCAAUCAACUAUUAAAUUCUUUCACUGAGGUGUAAACACCCUGUUUACUUUACAUCCAACUGUUACAGUUAGCAAUGAAAGAAAAUUUGGGCUAAAUGAUUUGCGUAGGCUUCUUAGGAGUUUCUGUACCAAAACACUAAACAGUGUCUGAUACAGAAACAGGGGGAGAUGCAUGGAAUUACUCUAUUCAAGCAAAUUCUGAGUUAAUCUAAUCUAUUGAGAAAUUUUUCAGUUUUGGGCUUCAACAAAAUAUAAAAGAGGUUAAAUCAAAAUUCACAAAUGUUUUAAUUACUCGAAUGAGUUUCUAAACUAAUACUGAAUAUUCUGAAUUGAAUACAUUAAAAUUAACAAUGAUGUCACGUGUCAACUAGAUUUCUACAGAACAGAGUUUUUAAAAACGGGGAAUAAAUUGCUGCUUCUCUCUUGCUAUAAUUCAAAAUAAUUUGUUUAGCCAAGUCAUGCAGAAAGGUCUAACCUGAACAUUAUACAAUUUAAUAAAUCUAGUUGUAUCAAAUUUCUCCCCAAAACUGCCAAAAGCAUUGAUAAAUAUCAUAAACACUACAAAAGAGGGUAAUUCAGUUAAAACUUAAAUAAUAGAUGUUAUUGAUAUAUUGAUGCUCUAUUGGCUUAGUCUGAAAACAAAAGAAAAAGCAUGAUCUUCAGCUUCAAGGAGCAGCCUUUAAAAAA
Long non-coding RNA from Poecilia latipinna (sailfin molly), 1168 nucleotides. RefSeq lists it as uncharacterized. The transcript has 2 exons. The record is from RefSeq and is a predicted model, not a curated record. Lineage: Eukaryota; Metazoa; Chordata; Actinopteri; Cyprinodontiformes; Poeciliidae.